This 420-nucleotide ribosomal RNA is filed under the name bacterium. RNAcentral's name for it is "partial 16S ribosomal RNA". It matches the Rfam family "Bacterial small subunit ribosomal RNA", at positions 355 to 776 of the family's 1533-position model. The record is from RNAcentral.
UGGGGGAUAUUGCACAAUGGGCGAAAGCCUGAUGCAGCGACGCCGCGUGGGGGAUGAAGGCUUUCGGGUUGUAAACCUCUUUCGCUAUCGAACAAGGCCCGCUUAGGGUGGGUUGGGGGUAGGUGGAGAAGAAGCGCCGGCUAACUACGUGCCAGCAGCCGCGGUAAUACGUAGGGCGCGAGCGUUGUCCGGAAUUAUUGGGCGUAAAGGGCUUGUAGGCGGCUUGUUGCGCCUUCUGUGAAAACGCGGGGCUUAACUUCGCGGGGUCAGUGGGUACGGGCAGGCUUGAGUGUGGUAGUGGUGACUGGAAUUCCAGGUGUAGCGGUGGAAUGCGUAGAUAUCUGGAGGAACACCGAUGGCGAAGGCAGGUCACUGGGCCAUUACUGACGCUGAGGAGCGAAAGCAUGGGUAGCGAACGGG